Molecule: long non-coding RNA, 171 nt
Organism: Corapipo altera (White-ruffed manakin)
Lineage: Eukaryota; Metazoa; Chordata; Aves; Passeriformes; Pipridae
Exons: 3
Source: RefSeq, a predicted model, not a curated record
AUUCCCUGAUCCAUUCCCCUUUUCCCAGGUUGUGGCCCUGGAGGGCUCCAACAGCUCCGGCAGCCGGAUCGUGGUGUCCAAACUCUACGAGGGGGUGCCACUGCCCUUCCACACCCCCCCAGAGCCGCCCUCGGGGCCCCUCCUGGUGCUCGUGGCCUGUGGCCCCUUCAC